Molecule: ribosomal RNA, 1189 nt
Filed under: uncultured Pseudoalteromonas sp.
Lineage: Bacteria; Pseudomonadati; Pseudomonadota; Gammaproteobacteria; Alteromonadales; Pseudoalteromonadaceae
Description: bacterial SSU rRNA
Rfam family: Bacterial small subunit ribosomal RNA
Source: RNAcentral
ACAUGCAAGUCGAGCGGUAACAGAAAGUAGCUUGCUAUUUUGCUGACGAGCGGCGGACGGGUGAGUAAUGCUUGGGAACAUACCUUGAGGUGGGGGACAACAGUUGGAAACGACUGCUAAUACCGCAUAAUGUCUACGGACCAAAGGGGGCUUAGGCUCUCGCCUUUAGAUUGGCCCAAGUGGGAUUAGCUAGUUGGUGAGGUAAUGGCUCACCAAGGCAACGAUCCCUAGCUGGUUUGAGAGGAUGAUCAGCCACACUGGAACUGAGACACGGUCCAGACUCCUACGGGAGGCAGCAGUGGGGAAUAUUGCACAAUGGGCGAAAGCCUGAUGCAGCCAUGCCGCGUGUGUGAAGAAGGCCUUCGGGUUGUAAAGCACUUUCAGUCAGGAGGAAAGGGUGUGAGUUAAUACCUCACAUCUGUGACGUUACUGACAGAAGAAGCACCGGCUAACUCCGUGCCAGCAGCCGCGGUAAUACGGAGGGUGCGAGCGUUAAUCGGAAUUACUGGGCGUAAAGCGUACGCAGGCGGUUUGUUAAGCGAGAUGUGAAAGCCCCGGGCUCAACCUGGGAACUGCAUUUCGAACUGGCAAACUAGAGUGUGAUAGAGGGUGGUAGAAUUUCAGGUGUAGCGGUGAAAUGCGUAGAGAUCUGAAGGAAUACCGAUGGCGAAGGCAGCCACCUGGGUCAACACUGACGCUCAUGUACGAAAGCGUGGGGAGCAAACGGGAUUAGAUACCCCGGUAGUCCACGCCGUAAACGAUGUCUACUAGAAGCUCGGAACCUCGGUUCUGUUUUUCAAAGCUAACGCAUUAAGUAGACCGCCUGGGGAGUACGGCCGCAAGGUUAAAACUCAAAUGAAUUGACGGGGGCCCGCACAAGCGGUGAGCAUGUGGUUUACUCGAUGCAACGCGAAGAACCUUACCUACACUUGACAUACAGAGACUUUCUAGAGAUAGAUUGUGCCUUCGGGAACUCUGAUACAGGUGCUGCAUGCUGUCGUCAGCUCGUGUUGUGAGAUGUGGUAAGUCCCGCACGAGCGCAACCCCUAUCCUUAGUUGCUAGCAGGUAAUGCUGAGAACUUCUAAGAGACUGCCGGGUGAUAAACCGGAGGAAGGUGGGACGACGUCAAAGUCAUCUUGGGCCUUACGUGUAGGGCUAACCACCGCGCUAACAUGGGGCACACAGAAU